This 341-nucleotide ribosomal RNA is filed under the name Pseudomyrmex aff. flavicornis-a MAS-2013. RNAcentral describes it as "partial 28S ribosomal RNA". Lineage: Eukaryota; Metazoa; Arthropoda; Insecta; Hymenoptera; Formicidae. The record is from RNAcentral.
GUGAAGAAAAGUUGAAAAGUACUUUGAAGAGUUAACGAGUACGUGAAACCGUUCAGAGGUAAACCUAAGAAACCCAAAAAAUCGAACGGGGAGAUUCAUCGUCAACGAAACUGGCUUCGCGUCGGUGGGCGAUAACCCCGCGGUGUGUCCUAAGCGGCACGCGCGUGCGGGCACGCUACCGAACGCCGAUGUCCGGUUUUCGUCGUCGUGCACUUCUCUCCUAGUAGAACGUCGCGACUCGCUGUGUGUCGGUCACCGACCCGGGUGCGGUUACUGUCACGUCGCCCGUAAAAACGGCGCGCGGCAAACACCCCCGGUCGCCCGACCAGCUGCCCGGCGGU